This 253-nucleotide ribosomal RNA is filed under the name uncultured bacterium. Its description in RNAcentral is "partial 16S ribosomal RNA". It matches the Rfam family "Bacterial small subunit ribosomal RNA", at positions 524 to 776 of the family's 1533-position model. The record is from RNAcentral.
UACAGAGGGUGCAAGCGUUGUUCGGAAUUACUGGGCGUAAAGCGCGUGUAGGCGGCUUAUUAAGUCGGACGUGAAAUCCCUUGGCUCAACCAAGGAACUGCGUCCGAUACUAUUAGGCUUGAGUGUCGGAGGGGGUGGCGGAAUUCCUGGUGUAGAGGUGAAAUUCGUAGAUAUCAGGAGGAACACCUGUGGCGAAGGCGGCCACCUGGAAGACAACUGACGCUGAGACGCGAAAGCGUGGGGAGCAAACAGG